AUGCUGAUAGUAUAAACAGUACAAUUGCCUUCCAAGCAAAAAGACCGAAGAUGGUCAGCAUA
Molecule: transfer RNA, 62 nt
Filed under: Anemina euscaphys
Lineage: Eukaryota; Metazoa; Mollusca; Bivalvia; Unionida; Unionidae
Also listed under: 1 other name
Description: Anodonta euscaphys tRNA-Gly
Source: RNAcentral